GAACGUCCAUUAAAUGUGUAGCAACAUCCUUCAAAUUUCAGGUUUAUGCUGCACCCUUCUCUAUUUCAAGCAUCUCCUUUCCGCCAUAUCAAUAUUCUGCCGCAUAAUAUCCCAUACUUCACAUCAUACACGUAGGCUUCAAUCACUAAUCAUUAGAAUGCCUAAUUCGAUCAAAACUCUCCUUAAGGCGCGUAGUCUUCCUAUUACCAAGCCCAUAUGCAACCCCUGACACUCUCCAACUUUGGAGGAAC
This 251-nucleotide long non-coding RNA is filed under the name Nicotiana benthamiana. RNAcentral describes it as "long non-coding RNA (NBEN_LNC034403)". Lineage: Eukaryota; Viridiplantae; Streptophyta; Magnoliopsida; Solanales; Solanaceae. The record is from RNAcentral.